This 1489-nucleotide ribosomal RNA is filed under the name Lactiplantibacillus pentosus. RNAcentral describes it as "bacterial SSU rRNA". It matches the Rfam family "Bacterial small subunit ribosomal RNA". Lineage: Bacteria; Bacillati; Bacillota; Bacilli; Lactobacillales; Lactobacillaceae. The record is from RNAcentral.
GACGAACGCUGGCGGCGUGCCUAAUACAUGCAAGUCGAACGAACUCUGGUAUUGAUUGGUGCUUGCAUCAUGAUUUACAUUUGAGUGAGUGGCGAACUGGUGAGUAACACGUGGGAAACCUGCCCAGAAGCGGGGGAUAACACCUGGAAACAGAUGCUAAUACCGCAUAACAACUUGGACCGCAUGGUCCGAGUUUGAAAGAUGGCUUCGGCUAUCACUUUUGGAUGGUCCCGCGGCGUAUUAGCUAGAUGGUGGGGUAACGGCUCACCAUGGCAAUGAUACGUAGCCGACCUGAGAGGGUAAUCGGCCACAUUGGGACUGAGACACGGCCCAAACUCCUACGGGAGGCAGCAGUAGGGAAUCUUCCACAAUGGACGAAAGUCUGAUGGAGCAACGCCGCGUGAGUGAAGAAGGGUUUCGGCUCGUAAAACUCUGUUGUUAAAGAAGAACAUAUCUGAGAGUAACUGUUCAGGUAUUGACGGUAUUUAACCAGAAAGCCACGGCUAACUACGUGCCAGCAGCCGCGGUAAUACGUAGGUGGCAAGCGUUGUCCGGAUUUAUUGGGCGUAAAGCGAGCGCAGGCGGUUUUUUAAGUCUGAUGUGAAAGCCUUCGGCUCAACCGAAGAAGUGCAUCGGAAACUGGGAAACUUGAGUGCAGAAGAGGACAGUGGAACUCCAUGUGUAGCGGUGAAAUGCGUAGAUAUAUGGAAGAACACCAGUGGCGAAGGCGGCUGUCUGGUCUGUAACUGACGCUGAGGCUCGAAAGUAUGGGUAGCAAACAGGAUUAGAUACCCUGGUAGUCCAUACCGUAAACGAUGAAUGCUAAGUGUUGGAGGGUUUCCGCCCUUCAGUGCUGCAGCUAACGCAUUAAGCAUUCCGCCUGGGGAGUACGGCCGCAAGGCUGAAACUCAAAGGAAUUGACGGGGGCCCGCACAAGCGGUGGAGCAUGUGGUUUAAUUCGAAGCUACGCGAAGAACCUUACCAGGUCUUGACAUACUAUGCAAAUCUAAGAGAUUAGACGUUCCCUUCGGGGACAUGGAUACAGGUGGUGCAUGGUUGUCGUCAGCUCGUGUCGUGAGAUGUUGGGUUAAGUCCCGCAACGAGCGCAACCCUUAUUAUCAGUUGCCAGCAUUAAGUUGGGCACUCUGGUGAGACUGCCGGUGACAAACCGGAGGAAGGUGGGGAUGACGUCAAAUCAUCAUGUCCCUUAUGACCUGGGCUACACACGUGCUACAAUGGAUGGUACAACGAGUUGCGAACUCGCGAGAGUAAGCUAAUCUCUUAAAGCCAUUCUCAGUUCGGAUUGUAGGCUGCAACUCGCCUACAUGAAGUCGGAAUCGCUAGUAAUCGCGGAUCAGCAUGCCGCGGUGAAUACGUUCCCGGGCCUUGUACACACCGCCCGUCACACCAUGAGAGUUUGUAACACCCAAAGUCGGUGGGGUAACCUCUUAGGAACCAGCCGCCUAAGGUGGGACAGAUGAUUAGGGUG